GAUGAACGCUAGCGGCAGGCUUAAUACAUGCAAGUCGAGGGGUAGCAAGAUUGUAGCAAUACAAUUGUUGACGACCGGCAAACGGGUGCGGAACACGUACACAACCUUCCUACAAGUGGGGAAUAGCCCAGAGAAAUUUGGAUUAAUACCCCGUAACAUAGCGAUGUGGCAUCACAUUGCUAUUAUAGCUUCGGCGCUUGUUGAUGGGUGUGCGGCUGAUUAGGUAGUUGGCGGGGUAACGGCCCACCAAGCCUGCGAUCAGUAACUGGUGUGAGAGCACGACCAGUCACACGGGCACUGAGACACGGGCCCGACUCCUACGGGAGGCAGCAGUAAGGAAUAUUGAUCAAUGGACGAAAGUCUGAACCAGCCAUGCCGCGUGAAGGAUGAAGGUCCUCUGGAUUGUAAACUUCUUUUAUAGGGGACGAAAAAAGGGAAUUCUUUCUCACUUGACGGUACCCUAGGAAUAAGCACCGGCUAACUCCGUGCCAGCAGCCGACGG
This 502-nucleotide ribosomal RNA is filed under the name uncultured bacterium. RNAcentral describes it as "bacterial SSU rRNA". It matches the Rfam family "Bacterial small subunit ribosomal RNA", at positions 28 to 520 of the family's 1533-position model. The record is from RNAcentral.